This 417-nucleotide ribosomal RNA is filed under the name Triticum aestivum (bread wheat). RNAcentral's name for it is "partial small subunit ribosomal RNA". Lineage: Eukaryota; Viridiplantae; Streptophyta; Magnoliopsida; Poales; Poaceae. The record is from RNAcentral.
AUGCCCCAGAUCCACCGCAAGCGGGCGAGCAUGGCGGCGGUAGGCGGCGACGCGGCGAGCAUGGUGGCGGUGGGCCUGGUGUGGGGCGCCACGAACGCGCUGAUGCGCCGGGGCGCGCUCGUCUGGGACCGCCGCUCCCGCUCCCUUCCUGCCGGCACCGGCGCCGUCCGGCGGUGGGCCGACCUCCUGCUCACGUGGCAGUACUCGGCGCCGUUCCUCGCCAACCUCUCGGCCUCCGCCGCCUUCUUCCGCCUCCUCGGCGACUCGCCCAUCUCCGUCGCCGUGCCAGUCACCAACGCCACCACCUUCGCCGCCACCGCCGUCGCCGCCGCGCUCCUCAGGGAGGCCACCCGCGCCGCGCCCGCCGCGCUCGGCACCGCGCUCAUCGUCCUCGGCGUCUGGGUCUGCAUUGUCUAA